This 73-nucleotide transfer RNA is filed under the name Phrynosoma platyrhinos (Desert horned lizard). RNAcentral's name for it is "tRNA-OTHER". The record is from RNAcentral. Lineage: Eukaryota; Metazoa; Chordata; Lepidosauria; Squamata; Phrynosomatidae.
AGCCAGUGUGGUGUAGUGGUUUGAGUGCUAGACAAUGACUCUGGAGACCAGGGUUUGAGUCCCAGCUGGGCUA